RNAcentral lists this long non-coding RNA (3582 nucleotides) under Musa acuminata (dwarf banana). Its description in RNAcentral is "long non-coding RNA (MACU_LNC011488)". The record is from RNAcentral. Lineage: Eukaryota; Viridiplantae; Streptophyta; Magnoliopsida; Zingiberales; Musaceae.
CGGAGAUGUUUGCUUGUGGAUCCCGAUUGAGGCGUUCUCUCUUGCCCGUUCUCUCUUUUGUUGGUCCUAAGGGACAAUGGGAGUCUUCGGGGAGGCUGACCUUUGCGGACGGACACGCAAGGGUGCUGCACGACUUAGGCAAAACCAGCUAAGUCCGUGUCAUAUGGUAUCAGAGCGGGACAAGCACUCAUAGAAACACUUAGCAUGCAAACGUGGGGGACCUAGCGGGACUGCGUUGAGGGCAGUCAGCACACGCGCGACCGUUUGGGGGACAACGGGCAUGGAGAUGUAGGGAAAAGGAGUCGCUCAGAGGAGCGGGCAUCUGAGAUUGACAUUCAGAGGAAUGGCAACCCUUCGCGCAAGAGGCACCACGAGAACAGGCAAGCUUGGAAGAAUGUGGAGCGCACAAAGGUUGGGAUGGCUGAGUUUGAGCUACGGCUCAACGUUGACAACUAUACUUGAUGGUGCUCUAGGCAAGCGAGGCGCUUGGCAAGAAUGAGACCAUCCAAGGUGGAAUGAGUUGCUCAACGACCAAAAGAGUUAUGCAAAGCUCACAAAGGUGAGGGGAAUUGCUAACUCAAAGAAUUUGGUACUCAUGCAUGGGCUUGUAUGCGGACGAUGGAAUGUUCGUGGCCAUCCCAAGGCGACCGAAACUCGGCGCCAUGGAGCAUUGAAACUUUCUCUUCGGCAUGUGAAGGAUACGUCCGUAGGAGGCUGAAGUGUGCAAUGAGUUUAGCAUGUUGCUAGGCCUUGAGGGGUGCAGCGGGGGCUGUAUUGACGGAGAGUCGCAAUCUAGCAAGUGCGUUUGCAGGAGGCAAAACAAUACACAGUUUGUUCAGCAGAUCGGAGUAGUCCAAGGGGAUGGUGGUCUCCGAAACGAAGAGAGAUGUCGCUCCAAUGGGACAGUUAUCCAGGAGGGAUAAGUCCCGGCUCUCCAGAGGGAGAAUCAUGUGAGACGGACCUCACAUGUUGAGGAGGCGUACCUCAACAAACAACAACUCCACGAAGCUCGAUGGACUGAGCAAGCGGCGAGGAGUCGUCGCAUGAUCUCGCUCGAGAGAAUGCAUUGGUGGAUGCAUUGCGAGAUCAAGUGGGGGAGCGACCUAAAGCAACUUAAAUGAAGGCACACUUGGAGUCGAUGUGGAGAUCGAACUCAAGGGAGGGCUGACCCGUGGAAUGGUGGGCGCGAGGGCCACCAUCGACUCAAUGCAGAAACGAGGAGCGGAGCAACUUGGGUGUAACUUGGUGAAGUUCCCAAGCCACAUGAAGGGAGCCAGCAGAGAAGUUGGAACAUGGAGUAGAGGCACAGUGCUUUUCUUAGACAGAGGUCAAGGACAUGAGCUCUUGCAGAGGCAAGAGCAGGAUCAUGUUGUUCCAUGGGUCCUUCAUUCUGACGGAGUGGACUCAUCUUGCAUGGUGCCAAAGAUGAAGGGAGCUUCUGGGCACAUGCACCUUAUCUCGGAGGAGCAUUUGAUGGAGGAACUAAGGCAACUCAAUUUGCGGAGGCGAAGUUGGGUUCAGAAGGCCUUAGCACGGGGCAAGAGGACGCAGAGGCGGGUACUCUUGAAGAAUAUGCCACAGUGUUGCCAUUCGAGUUGCUAGGAAGGAAGCGGUGCGCAGCGAAGAUUGUGCUAGUAGGGGCAGAGGCCCAGGAUCCAGACAAUGGUGCACAAAUUAUAGUGAAGUCGGUGGACUUCGGGAGCUACUAGGUGAUGGACUGUCCUAAAGCGGUGCUUCAUCUAGGUGUGACCCAAGAGUGGGUGGAUGAAGGUCGAUUGCCAAAGGAGCGAACAAAAUCGAAGGUGGAGGAGACCCUGCGAUGUAUUGGCAGAGGCCACACAUGGAGGGUUCACAAUUCGAGUUUAUUCCACAAGGAUCAGAAUGCAAUGGAGAUGUCACCAGGAGGCGACAUGGUGCAGCGGAUCAUGGUGGAACAGUUCGUGGCAAUGCGAUACACACGAGUUUGUCCCGUGAGGGAUGAGAUCAUAUGGAGGUAUGAUCGGGAGCUACUGGGAGCUCCGCUUUGGUGAACAACACGACGGCAAGAAGGGCUAUGGAUUCAAGGAGUGAAGGCCAUGGUACCGCAGAGGCGGGUCUUCCGGGCGUGCACCGAAUUUUGCAUCGGAUGAAAACCUUGGUCAUCAGCAUAUGGGGGCUGGGUUCCACCAAGGGAAAAGUUCGAAUGCAAGUACCAGUGAGUUCCAUGGGAGGGACUUGAUCAUGCAGAGGUAUGAUCGAAGCAGCUGGAGAGUUGCACUGCUCCAGAGCUCAUAUUCGCUUAAGGGAGCCCGGCAAGUCAGAGGACAAGGCCGAGUAAGCGAACGUUGCUACCAAGGAAGCUAAGGAGAACAGAAUUGGUGCAAACCCUACGUGAUGGCAGAGGCCAUGCAUGGGAGUUGCAGUCUGUCUUUCCAUCGACCAAACGGACUGCUUGGAGAACACAGAGGUGUUGAAGCAGGGGGUCGAAAGGGGCGAGGAAGCGACGACGAGUCCAGAGGGACUUAGCUACCCAAAAUCAAGCAUCAGUAAGAAUGGAGGUGGACUCAGAGGAGUGCCACGGAGACAUAUCUACUGAUCAUGAAGAAAAGGGAUGCAGAUGCGAGGCAAUGGAUAGUAGGGCCAUGGGCAUGGCAGCGCUAUGGUACCGUAGAGGCGGGACUUCCGUGAAAGUCAUGAUCCCUUGCUCUCACGGAGGGAGAGCGUUUGGUCGUGAAAGGGGCCAAGGAGGUGGAGCAUGUAGAGGCAAUCUCCAAGUACCGAGACAAGGCUGAAGGGCAGAGGCCAAGAAACUUCGUAAGACCGGUGUCAACAAGUUUCUCAUCAAGAUAGCCGUAAGUGAAGGACUUCGGGUCAUGCAAGAGUGCACGACCAAGGAAUGAAGCAAGCAGUAUGCGGUGUUGUACCUUUGCUACUCAGUGGAGUAGGUGGCAGGGUUGAUGGAGAAGACGGUACAAUCCCAGAGGCGACCUCAUCUAUCAGAGAAUUACUCCAAGUUGGGGUGAAAACUUCCCGCAUUCCAGAAGUUCGAUGGCAUUGAGAAGGUGAAUCACAGUAGCUAACUCAACGCAAGGAGUGAAAACACUUCAAGUGCUUCAAAAGUGUGAGCAAAGAGCAAGCGAAGGCCAGUAACCAGCUCGAUGCAUGAAGUACAACCUCGAGGAGGCGAGCGAAGUCAAGUAACCUUUGCCUUCUCAACUCUCAAGAGAAUGGGCGAAACCGAGUACCCCAGUUCUCUUAUCUAUCCAGCAGAGGAGCUCUGCACAAGUUCAAAGACCCUUCGAAGAUAAUGGAAGACAAUAGUUGUCAAAUCCUCACCAACGGUGAUCAGUGCUACUGAGAGUAGAUUGUCCGCUUCAUUUCCCAACGAAAUGCCAAUCGAAAGCGGAAGUGAUGCGAACCUACUUGGAUGUGACAACUAACUGAAAGAAGAGUCAAUGAGCAGAUUUUGUGGAGGAAGGACCCAAAACUUCAGAAGUUUGCGAGACGAUGCUCGUUAAAGCUCCAACAAGCAUCCACCCAGUUCGAGCAGCAUGUGGAAUUUAUGAGAGACUAGCGCAGUAAGGAUGGUCUUUUCCUUCAUCU